CUUCAGCAACUCUAAGCAGCCUCCCCCAGGAAAAACUGAUCCUGCUACAGCUCCACCAUGAAGUUCUUCAUGGUCCUGCUGCCAGCCAGCCUAGCCGCCACCUCUCUCGCCAUCCUUGAUGUUGAAUCUGGCCUCCUUCCACAACUCUCAGUCCCCUAAGGGUUAUUGAGCUGUCAGCUGGAGAGACCUCAGCACUAGAAAGGGCCUUCCUUAAUCCUUGUAAUAUGCUGUGUGGAGAGGUGGAAAGCUGCAGAACCAAAAGUUCACACCUGGGAUGACCUAGAGCCAGAAGGUGAAAUUCACUCGGAGACUCAGCCUGCAGAUGCCUUACUCCUCAGCAACCGCCUCAGAGGGAAAACUUGCCAAACUGGCCCAUAAAAUCGGGAAGAAUCUGGACAAAGCAUUGAAAGGAAUCAUAAACUAUCUGAAAAACCUAAUCCCUAGCGCCAAUGAUGUCAUGAGGCCCUAAUGAUGAGGGUGCCUGAAUUCCAGGCUAGGCUGUGGGAGACGCCACAUCCAAAAGCCAUCUUUCGGCUCCUCAAAUUCAUGUAUU
RNAcentral lists this long non-coding RNA (553 nucleotides) under Homo sapiens (human). Its description in RNAcentral is "non-protein coding lnc-PPP1R1A-1:2". Lineage: Eukaryota; Metazoa; Chordata; Mammalia; Primates; Hominidae. The record is from RNAcentral.